RNAcentral lists this ribosomal RNA (346 nucleotides) under Candidatus Woesearchaeota archaeon. RNAcentral's name for it is "partial 23S ribosomal RNA". It matches the Rfam family "Archaeal large subunit ribosomal RNA", at positions 2565 to 2915 of the family's 2987-position model. Lineage: Archaea; Nanobdellati; Candidatus Woesearchaeota. The record is from RNAcentral.
GAGCUCAAAUUGACGGCGCUGUUUGCUACGACGAUGUCGGCUCAACUCAACCUGGGCGUGCAGAAGCGCCCAAGGGUGGGGGUGUUCACCCAUUAAAGAGUUUCGUGAGCUGGGUUCAGAACGUUGUGAGACAGUUUGUUCAAUAUCUAGUGGAUGUGUUUAGAAUCUGAGAGGAAGGAUCUCUUAGUACGAGAGGAACAGGGGUUCGUGGCCUCUGGUGUAUCGGUUGUCUGAUAAGGCAGGCCGAGCAGCUACGCCAUAAGUGAUAAGAGCUGAAAGCAUCUAAGCUCGAAGCACACCUCAAAAAGAGAUUCUACAAGCGCCCGCAAAAGACGGGUUUGAUAGG